UUUUUUAAAUCGUGUGUGUGUGUGUGUGUGUGUGUGUGUGUGUGUUAAUCCCCGGGUUGACGGCUGCUUUUUGGUCUCUAAGCUGUUCUCAUCUCUACUAUCUCUGCUACAGUGAAGCUCACAGCCAACGAGAGAGAGGCAGAGAGUGUUUUCCCCUCUUCUCUUUCCCUCUCUGUCCUUUCCUCUAAUCCCCCCUCCCCAGUCUCUCUCCCUCCUCUCUAUUUUUCUCUCGGUGACAGGUCUCUCCCUCCUCUCUAUUUUUCUCUCGGUGACAGGUCUCUCCCUCCUCUCUAUUUUUCUCUAGGUGACAGGUCUCUCCCUCCUCUCUAUUUUUCUCUAGGUGACAGGUCUCUCCCUCCUCUCUAUUUUUCUCUAGGUGCCAGGUCUCUCUCUCCUUUUCUCUCGGUGACAGGUCUCUCCCUCCUCUCUCUUUUUAUCUUGGUGACAGGUCUCUCCCUCCUCUCUCUUUUUAUCUUGGUGACAGGUCUCUCCCUCCUCUCUCUUUUUCUCUAGGU
This is a long non-coding RNA of Oncorhynchus tshawytscha (Chinook salmon), 515 nucleotides long. The record is from Ensembl. Lineage: Eukaryota; Metazoa; Chordata; Actinopteri; Salmoniformes; Salmonidae.